Molecule: ribosomal RNA, 253 nt
Filed under: uncultured bacterium
Lineage: Bacteria
Description: partial 16S ribosomal RNA
Rfam family: Bacterial small subunit ribosomal RNA
Source: RNAcentral
CACGUAGGGGGCAAGCGUUGUCCGGAUUUAUUGGGCGUAAAGAGCUCGUAGGCGGUUUGUCACGUCUGCUGUGAAAUCCCGAGGCUCAACCUCGGGCCUGCAGUGGGUACGGGCAGACUGGAGUGCGGUAGGGGAGAUUGGAAUUCCUGGUGUAGCGGUGGAAUGCGCAGAUAUCAGGAGGAACACCGAUGGCGAAGGCAGAUCUCUGGGCCGUAACUGACGCUGAGGAGCGAAAGCGUGGGGAGCGAACAGG